GGAGGANGCAAGCGUUGUUCGGAAUCACUGGGCUUAAAGCGCGUGUAGGCGGGAUAUUUGGUGUCGUGUGAAAUCCCCGGUCUCAACCCGGGAACUGCGCGGCAUACCGGUAUUCUUGAGGCAAGCAGAGGUGACUGGAACGACGGGUGGAGCGGUGAAAUGCGUAGACAUCCGUUGGAACGCCGGCGACGAAGGUGAGUCACUGGGCUUGUCCUGACGCUGAGACGCGAAAGCGUGGGUAGCAAACAGGAUUAGAUACCCUGGUAGUCCACGCCGUAAACGAUGCGCACUAGGUAUGGGAGACUCUGACGUCGACCGUGCCGAAGCAAAAGUGCUAAGUGCGCCGCCUGGGGAGUACGGCCGCAAGGCUA
Molecule: ribosomal RNA, 371 nt
Filed under: uncultured bacterium
Lineage: Bacteria
Description: bacterial SSU rRNA
Rfam family: Bacterial small subunit ribosomal RNA
Source: RNAcentral